ACAACCCGUAAAGGGGAACCUAACCCUACAGGGACUCGAGAUAACCCCGGGAAACUUGUGGGCUAAUGUUAGAUAGAUAAAAGAUACUGGAAUGUUCUUUUAUCCAAAGCUUUUGCGCCUGAGGAUGGGCCUGCGUCCGAUUAGGUUGUUGGUGGGGUAAUGGCCCACCAAGCCUACGAUCGGUACGGGCAGUGGGAGCUGAAGCCCGGAGUUGGGGACUGAGACAAGGCCCCAGGCCCUACGGGGCGCAGCAGGCGCGAAACCUCUGCAAUGCGGGAAACCGUGACAGGGGGAUCCCAAGUGCUCAUGCAUUGCAUGGGCUGUUCUUUGGUCUAAGUAACCAGAGGAGUAAGGGCUGAGCAAGACCGGUGCCAGCCGCCGCGGUAAUACCGGCAGCUCAAGUGGUAGCCGCGAUUAUUGGGCCUAAAACGUUCGUAGCCGGAUAAGUAAGUCUUUGGUUAAAUCCUGCGACUUAACCGUGGGAAAUCUAGAGAUACUGCUUGUCUUGAGACCGGGAGAGGUUGGAGGUACUCCUAGGGUAGGGGUGAAAUCCUGUAAUCCUAGGGGGACCACCUGUGGCGAAGGCGUCCAACUGGAACGGGUCUGACGGUGAGGGGACGAAACCUAGGGGAGCGAGCCGGAUUAGAUACCCGGGUAGUCCUAGGCGUAAAUGAUGCGAGUUAAGUGUGGGGGGCAUCUACGAGAUGGGCCCUGUGCUGUAGGGUAGCCGGUUAACUCGCUGCCUGGGGAGUACGGUCGCAAGGCUGAACUUAAGGGAAUUGGCGGGGGAGCACCACAAGAGUGAGGCUGCCGUUCAAUUGGACUCAACGCGGAAAACUCACGGGAGCGACAGCAGUAUGAUUGCCAGUUGAUGACUUUGCUUGACAGCUGAAAAGAGUGCAUGCCGCGGUCAGAUCGUAUCGGUGAAGGCGUCCUGGUAGUCAAGGCAACGAAACGAGAUCCCUUUGGCAUCUAUGCAGCCGAAUUCCUUCAGAUGCCUGUAACUAGAUGAUCGCACUGGCUAAGUGACAGCAAGUCGUC
Molecule: ribosomal RNA, 1041 nt
Filed under: uncultured archaeon
Lineage: Archaea
Description: partial 16S ribosomal RNA
Rfam family: Archaeal small subunit ribosomal RNA
Source: RNAcentral